RNAcentral lists this long non-coding RNA (1748 nucleotides) under Chlamydomonas reinhardtii. RNAcentral's name for it is "long non-coding RNA (CREI_LNC001405)". The record is from RNAcentral. Lineage: Eukaryota; Viridiplantae; Chlorophyta; Chlorophyceae; Chlamydomonadales; Chlamydomonadaceae.
CAGUGUCAUCCGCCCGACCCUCACCUCGGUGUCUCUCAGCAGCACUACCACAAUCCUCAUCGGCACCUCCGGUCCCGCCUCCCUGCCCGGAAAUGCGUCCGCAGCUGUGUGCAAUGCCGUGUUUGACAUUGCGCUUAAGAAUGGCACUGUCCUGCCCGGCGCGCUGUCGGCCUGCUCUGUGGGCCCCGGCGUGACGGCCAUCACCGCCGCCCUAGCCAACGGCACCGCUUACUCGGACGGCAUGACGGUCACGCUCAAGGCCAACCAGACCGCGCUCAAGGCCGGAGACCAGACCGCCGCCGCGCCCCUGUUCGUGCCGCCCACCGCCGCCCUGGCCAUUGCCCCCACCAUCCUGUCUGCGUCGCUGACUGCUGCCGACACCAUCACCGUGGUCCUGCCCGUCGCCAGCUCGCUUGACACGUCGGCCUGCAACAGCGCCUUUGAGCUCCGCGCGGCCGCCUCCUCCACCGCCAAGUCCAGCCCCUUCUCAGCCUGCUCCCUGGCCGUGAACAACACGCAGGCGGUGCUGACCCUGGCCUCCGCCUCCACCUACACCUCGGGCGACAUCCUGGACAUCAAGAGCGGCAACGACAAGCUGCUCGCAGGCAGCACCGCCUACGUGCCCCAGUCGGUCACCGUGCUGCCGACCAUCACCACCGCCACCCUGGUCAGCUCCACGGUCGUGCGCGUGGCUCUGCCCGUCGUGUCCUCCAUCCCCGCCCCCUACUCCGCUGACGACUGCGCGCGCUCCAUUGUUGUCGCCGCCGCCAGCUCCACUGCCGCCAAGGCGAUCUCGGCCUGCGCGCUGUCCGCUGACAAGAAGGCGCUGCUGGUCACGCUGGCCGCCGCCUACCAGCCUGGUGAGCUUUGAUCCUUGUGUAGGGGCGGAAGGGUGGGACGGCCCCAAAUAAACCGCAAUGGACGGGCAUGGGCGGAUAGUUGACCUAGCAAACCAGCCUUUCACUACCUGCCUACUACCUACUACAUACCUGCCUAAACAAACCACCAUUACCCGCCUCUGUCCCGCCGAACCCUAACGACAGGUGACACCGUGAACGUGCGCACCGGUCAGUGGCAGCUGCGCGCGGGCGCCUCCGUCACCCUGGGCCCCAACUACAUUGCCAGCGCAGCCCCCGCGCCCAUCCUGCCCGGCCUCUCCGCCGCCACCCUCACCAGCGCCACCCAGGUUGUGGUCACACUGCCCGCCGCCAGCAGCGUCCCCGCCACCUUCAGUGUCAGCGACUGCAACGCCGCCGUUGACCUGGUCAGUGCCGCCGGCGCGUCAAAGGACACUCCCUUCGCCGCCUGCGCGCUGGGCUCUGGCAAUGCCACCCUCAUCCUCAACCUGACCGCCAGUGCCUACGCCAUCGGCGACACCGUGAGCGUGAAGGCAUCUCAGACCACCCUCAAGGUGGGCAACACCAGCUACACACCCUACUCCGUGCCCAUCACGCCCGUCCUGCUGCCCACCACCACCGCCGUGCUGGUCAGCGAGACCUCCAUCUCCGUCACCCUGCCCACCGGCUUCAACAGCUACCUGCCUUCCACCGCAAACGCCUCGGACUGCAACGCGGCAUUCGUGCUCGUUUCGGCUACCGGCACCGCCAAGACCGCCCCCUACACCAGCUGCACUGUCUCAGGCACCACCCUGACCCUGGGCGUCGCCGCCGGUACCUACGCCGCCGGUGACUCGGUCAACGUCAAGACCGGCAACUCGCUGUUCCUGGGCGCCUCCUCGACUGGCCCCG